AUUGAACGCUGGCGGCAUGCCUUACACAUGCGAGUCGAACGGCAGCACGGGUGCUUGCACCUGGUGGCGAGUGGCGAACGGGUGAGUAAUACAUCGGAACAUGUCCUGUAGUGGGGGAUAGCCCGGCGAAAGCCGGAUUAAUACCGCAUACGAUCUACGGAUGAAAGCGGGGGACCUUCGGGCCUCGCGCUAUAGGGUUGGCCGAUGGCUGAUUAGCUAGUUGGUGGGGUAAAGGCCUACCAAGGCGACGAUCAGUAGCUGGUCUGAGAGGACGACCAGCCACACUGGGACUGAGACACGGCCCAGACUCCUACGGGAGGCAGCAGUGGGGAAUUUUGGACAAUGGGCGAAAGCCUGAUCCAGCAAUGCCGCGUGUGUGAAGAAGGCCUUCGGGUUGUAAAGCACUUUUGUCCGGAAAGAAAUCCUUGGCCCUAAUACGGUCGGGGGGAUGACGGUACCGGAAGAAUAAGCACCGGCUAACUACGUG
This 487-nucleotide ribosomal RNA is filed under the name uncultured bacterium. Its description in RNAcentral is "partial 16S ribosomal RNA". It matches the Rfam family "Bacterial small subunit ribosomal RNA", at positions 30 to 507 of the family's 1533-position model. The record is from RNAcentral.